GACGAACGCUGGCGGCGUGCUUAACACAUGCAAGUCGAACGGAAAGGCCCUGCUUUUGUGGGGUGCUCGAGUGGCGAACGGGUGAGUAACACGUGAGUAACCUGCCCUUGACUUUGGGAUAACUUCAGGAAACUGGGGCUAAUACCGGAUAGGAGCUCCUGCUGCAUGGUGGGGGUUGGAAAGUUUCGGCGGUUGGGGAUGGACUCGCGGCUUAUCAGCUUGGUGGUGGGGUAGUGGCUUACCAAGGCUUUGACGGGUAGCCGGCCUGAGAGGGUGACCGGCCACAUUGGGACUGAGAUACGGCCCAGACUCCUACGGGAGGGAGCAGUGGAGAAUAUUACACAAUGGGCGGAAGCCUGAUGCAGCAACGCCGCGUGCGGGAUGACGGCCUUCGGGUUGUAAACCGAUUUCGCCUGUGACGAAGCGUGAGUGACGGUAAUGGGUAAAGAAGCACCGGCUAACUACGUG
This 468-nucleotide ribosomal RNA is filed under the name uncultured bacterium. RNAcentral describes it as "partial 16S ribosomal RNA". It matches the Rfam family "Bacterial small subunit ribosomal RNA", at positions 28 to 507 of the family's 1533-position model. The record is from RNAcentral.